Molecule: long non-coding RNA, 428 nt
Filed under: Pan troglodytes (chimpanzee)
Lineage: Eukaryota; Metazoa; Chordata; Mammalia; Primates; Hominidae
Description: lincRNA
Source: RNAcentral
GACGGGCGCCAGGGGGCAACUUCCUACAGGAGGGCGUCCCGUUAGAAUGACAGGGCUUUUGCAAAAGUCUGACACCCGUGGCACAGAGCGCCCCAGAUAUGGAGGGUUUCACAGGCUCGUGUGUGGCUUCUUCAGUCCUCUCUUCAUUCACUCAUGUAUUCAUUUAUUCAACGACAUGUUACUAAGGAACCUCCUUAAGCCGGGAUGCUGAACGUGGAAAAAUAGUUGACUCUUGAACAAUGUGGGGGCUUGGGGCACCAACCCCCUGUGCAGUUGAAAAUCGACAUAUAACUUUGACUCGCCAAAAACUUCACUACAAUAGCCUGCUGUCAACCUGAAGUCUUACCAAUAACAUCAACAGUCAAUUAAACAUAUUAUGUAUGUUAUAUGUAUUCUAUGCUGUAGUUUUACAAUAAAGUAAGCUGGAG